AAUCAACGCUGGCGGCGUGCCUCAGACAUGCAAGUCGAACGAGAACCCUCCCUUCGGGGAGGGACGAGUGGCGCGACGGGUGAGUAACACGUGGGUAAUUUACCUUUGGGUGGGAACAACAGCCGGAAACGGCGUGCUAAUACCGCAUAAUGCAGCGGCUCGACAUCGAGACAAGUUGUUAAAGCGGGGAUCGCAAGACCUCGCGCCUGAAGAGAAGCCUGCGGCGGAUUAGCAGUUGGUA
This 241-nucleotide ribosomal RNA is filed under the name uncultured bacterium. RNAcentral describes it as "partial 16S ribosomal RNA". It matches the Rfam family "Bacterial small subunit ribosomal RNA", at positions 32 to 254 of the family's 1533-position model. The record is from RNAcentral.